RNAcentral lists this ribosomal RNA (459 nucleotides) under uncultured bacterium. Its description in RNAcentral is "bacterial SSU rRNA". It matches the Rfam family "Bacterial small subunit ribosomal RNA", at positions 29 to 531 of the family's 1533-position model. The record is from RNAcentral.
AACGAACGCUGGCGGCAGGCCUAACACAUGCAAGUCGAGCGAACCCUUCGGGGUUAGCGGCGGACGGGUUAGUAACGCGUGGGAAUAUACCCUUUGGUACGGAAUAGCCUCGGGAAACUGAGAGUAAUACCGUAUGUGCCCUUCGGGGGAAAGAUUUAUCGCCAAAGGAUUAGCCCGCGUUGGAUUAGAUAGUUGGUGGGGUAAUGGCCUACCAAGUCUACGAUCCAUAGCUGGUUUGAGAGGAUGAUCAGCAACACUGGGACUGAGACACGGCCCAGACUCCUACGGGAGGCAGCAGUGGGGAAUCUUAGACAAUGGGCGCAAGCCUGAUCUAGCCAUGCCGCGUGGACGACGAAGGCCUUAGGGUUGUAAAGUCCUUUCAGAUGGGAAGAUAAUGACGGUACCAUCAGAAGAAGCCCCGGCUAACUCCGUGCCAGCAGCCGCGGUAAAGUCUGUACU